Molecule: transfer RNA, 73 nt
Filed under: Otolemur garnettii (small-eared galago)
Lineage: Eukaryota; Metazoa; Chordata; Mammalia; Primates; Galagidae
Rfam family: tRNA
About the family: Transfer RNA (tRNA) molecules are approximately 80 nucleotides in length. Their secondary structure includes four short double-helical elements and three loops (D, anti-codon, and T loops). Further hydrogen bonds mediate the characteristic L-shaped molecular structure. tRNAs have two regions of fundamental functional importance: the anti-codon, which is responsible for specific mRNA codon recognition, and the 3' end, to which the tRNAs corresponding amino acid is attached (by aminoacyl-tRNA synthetases). tRNAs cope with the degeneracy of the genetic code in two manners: having more than one tRNA (with a specific anti-codon) for a particular amino acid; and 'wobble' base-pairing, i.e. permitting non-standard base-pairing at the 3rd anti-codon position.
Source: Rfam by way of RNAcentral
GUCCCUGUGGCUCAAGGAGUAGGGCGCUGGCCCCAUAUACCAGAGAUGGCGGGUUCAAACCCCGCUCAGGCCA